RNAcentral lists this transfer RNA (72 nucleotides) under Camelus bactrianus (Bactrian camel). It matches the Rfam family "tRNA". Rfam says of the family: Transfer RNA (tRNA) molecules are approximately 80 nucleotides in length. RNAcentral also lists the same sequence under 1 other name. Lineage: Eukaryota; Metazoa; Chordata; Mammalia; Artiodactyla; Camelidae. The record is from Rfam by way of RNAcentral.
GUGGGUGUAGCUCAGUGGUAGAGCACCUGCUUAGCAUGCAUGAAGUCCUGGGUUCAAUCCACAGUACCUCUG